This 280-nucleotide ribosomal RNA is filed under the name uncultured Actinomycetales bacterium. RNAcentral's name for it is "partial 16S ribosomal RNA". It matches the Rfam family "Bacterial small subunit ribosomal RNA", at positions 504 to 782 of the family's 1533-position model. Lineage: Bacteria; Bacillati; Actinomycetota; Actinomycetes; Actinomycetales. The record is from RNAcentral.
UGUGCCAGCCGCCGCGGUAAUACGUAGGGUGCGAGCGUUGUCCGGAAUUACUGGGCGUAAAGGGCUCGUAGGUGGUUUGUCGCGUCGUCUGUGAAAUUCCGGGGCUUAACUCCGGGCGUGCAGGCGAUUCGGGCAUAACUUGAGUACUGUAGGGGUAACUGGAAUUCCUGGUGUAGCGGUGAAAUACGCAGAUAUCAGGAGGAACACCGAUGGCGAAGGCAGGUUACUGGGCAGUUACUGACGCUGAGGAGCGAAAGCAUGGGUGGCGAACAGGAUUAGA